CCUACGGGAGGCAGCAGUAGGGAAUCUUUCACAAUGGGCGAAAGCCUGAUGGAGCAACGCCGCGUGCAGGAUGAAGGCCUUCGGGUUGUAAACUGCUUUUAUAAGCGAGAAAUAUGAUGGUAACUUAUGAAUAAGGAUCGGCUAACUACGUGCCAGCAGCCGCGGUCAUACGUAGGAUCCGAGCAUUAUCCGGAGUGACUGGGUGUAAAGAGUUGCGUAGGUGGCAUAAUAAGUAGCUAGUGAAAUCUGGUGGCUCAACCAUUCAGACUAUUAGCUAAACUGUUAAGCUCGAGACCGUUAGGGGUAACUGGAAUUUCUAGUGUAGGAGUGAAAUCCGUAGAUAUUAGAAGGAACACCAAUAGCGUAGGCAGGUUGCUGGGACGGUUCUGACACUAAGGCACGAAAGCGUGGGGAGCAAACAGGAUUAGAUACCCCAGUAGUC
Molecule: ribosomal RNA, 442 nt
Filed under: uncultured bacterium
Lineage: Bacteria
Description: partial 16S ribosomal RNA
Rfam family: Bacterial small subunit ribosomal RNA
Source: RNAcentral